Molecule: ribosomal RNA, 296 nt
Filed under: uncultured Singulisphaera sp.
Lineage: Bacteria; Pseudomonadati; Planctomycetota; Planctomycetia; Isosphaerales; Isosphaeraceae
Description: partial 16S ribosomal RNA
Rfam family: Bacterial small subunit ribosomal RNA
Source: RNAcentral
UUGACGGGGGCUCACACAAGCGGUGGAGCAUGUGGCUUAAUUCGAGGCUACGCGCAGAACCUUUUCCUGGGCUUGACAUGCACGGAUUAGCCGGCGGAAACGUCGGUGAGGCCGCAAGGUACAACGUGCACAGGUGCUGCAUGGCUGUCGUCAGCUCGUGUCGUGAGAUGUUCGGUUAAGUCCCGUAACGAGCGAAACCCCUGUGGCCAGUUGCCAACGCGUCAUGCCGGGGACUCUGGCCAGACCGCCGGCGUUAAGCCGGAGGAAGGCGGGGACGACGUCAAGUCCUCAUGGCC